GGGAUUGCCCUAGUAACGGCGAGUGAAGCGGCAAGAGCUCAAAUUUGAAAGCUGGCCCCCUCGGGGUCCGCAUUGUAAUUUGCAGAGGAUGCUUCGGGAACGGCCCCCAUCUAAGUGCCCUGGAACGGGCCGUCAUAGAGGGUGAGAAUCCCGUCUGGGAUGGGGUGGCCGCGCCCGUGUGAAGCUCCUUCGACGAGUCGAGUUGUUUGGGAAUGCAGCUCUAAUUGGGUGGUAAAUUUCAUCUAAAGCUAAAUAUUGGCCGGAGACCGAUAGCGCACAAGUAGAGUGAUCGAAAGAUGAAAAGCACUUUGAAAAGAGAGUUAAACAGCACGUGAAAUUGUUGAAAGGGAAGCGCUUGCGACCAGACUCGCCCGCGGGGUUCAGCCGGCACUCGUGCCGGUGUACUUCCCCGCGGGCGGGCCAGCGUCGGUUUGGGCGGCCGGUCAAAGGCCUCUGGAAGGUAACGCCUCUCGGGGCGUCUUAUAGCCAGGGGUGCCAUGCGGCCUGCCCGGACCGAGGAACGCGCUUCGGCUCGGACGCUGGCAUAAUGGUCGUAAGCGACCCGUCUUGAAACACGGACC
Molecule: ribosomal RNA, 581 nt
Filed under: Aschersonia sp. ARSEF343
Lineage: Eukaryota; Fungi; Ascomycota; Sordariomycetes; Hypocreales; Clavicipitaceae
Description: eukaryotic LSU rRNA
Rfam family: Eukaryotic large subunit ribosomal RNA
Source: RNAcentral